UCUCUGUAGCUCAGUGGUAGAGCGUCCGACCCGGUGUGGCGGAAGGUCAUAGGUUCAGACUCCUGUUGGAAGAA
RNAcentral lists this transfer RNA (74 nucleotides) under Desmophyllum pertusum. RNAcentral's name for it is "Lophelia pertusa tRNA". It matches the Rfam family "tRNA". Rfam says of the family: Transfer RNA (tRNA) molecules are approximately 80 nucleotides in length. Their secondary structure includes four short double-helical elements and three loops (D, anti-codon, and T loops). Further hydrogen bonds mediate the characteristic L-shaped molecular structure. tRNAs have two regions of fundamental functional importance: the anti-codon, which is responsible for specific mRNA codon recognition, and the 3' end, to which the tRNAs corresponding amino acid is attached (by aminoacyl-tRNA synthetases). tRNAs cope with the degeneracy of the genetic code in two manners: having more than one tRNA (with a specific anti-codon) for a particular amino acid; and 'wobble' base-pairing, i.e. permitting non-standard base-pairing at the 3rd anti-codon position. The record is from Rfam by way of RNAcentral. Lineage: Eukaryota; Metazoa; Cnidaria; Anthozoa; Scleractinia; Caryophylliidae.